AAAACUUACCAGGUCAAGACAUGGGCGUGAUUGACAGGCUAAUGACUUUUCUCGAUUCCAUGGAUGGUGGUGCAUGGUCGCACUUAGUUGGUGCAGUGAUUUGUCAGGUUUAUUCCGGUAACGAACGAGACCUCGGCCUUGUAAAUAGCUAUGCUGCUUACAGGGACAUUGGCGGCUACGCCAAGGAAGCUCGAGGCAAUUGCAGAUCUGGAAUGCCCUUAGAUGUCCUGGGUCGCACGCGUGCUACAAUGACGCCACGAACGAGCUUGCGUGAUGAAAGUUACGCAUAAUCAGCAGUCGGCGUCUUAAGGGAUAGUCUCUUGUAACUGUGGGACUCCAACUAGGAAUGUCUCGUAAGCACAAGUCAACAUCUUGUGUUGAUUACGUCCCUGCUCUUUGUACACACCGCCCGUCGCUCCUACCGAUCGAGUGUUUAGGUGAAUUUGAUGGACGUAAGGAAGUCAAAUAAACCUGAGCACUAGAGAAGAGAAGUCGAGCUC
Molecule: ribosomal RNA, 500 nt
Filed under: uncultured Myrionecta
Lineage: Eukaryota; Ciliophora; Litostomatea; Cyclotrichida; Mesodiniidae
Description: bacterial SSU rRNA
Rfam family: Eukaryotic small subunit ribosomal RNA
Source: RNAcentral